AAAACCUCUCUCAGUUCGGAUUGAAGUCUGCAACCCGACUUCAUGAAGCUGGAUUCGCUAGUAAUCGCGCAUCAGCCACGGCGCGGUGAAUACGUUCCCGGGCCUUGUACACACCGCCCGUCAAGCCAUGGGAGCCGGGGGUACCUGAAGUGCGUAACCGCAAGGAGCGCCCUAGGGUAAAACUGGUGACUGGGGCUAAGUCGUAACAAGGUAUC
Molecule: ribosomal RNA, 215 nt
Filed under: uncultured bacterium
Lineage: Bacteria
Description: partial 16S ribosomal RNA
Rfam family: Bacterial small subunit ribosomal RNA
Source: RNAcentral